Molecule: unclassified non-coding RNA, 293 nt
Filed under: uncultured Amanita
Lineage: Eukaryota; Fungi; Basidiomycota; Agaricomycetes; Agaricales; Amanitaceae
Description: partial contains 5.8S ribosomal RNA, internal transcribed spacer 2, and large subunit ribosomal RNA
Source: RNAcentral
AACGCAUCUUGCGCUCCUUGAUAUUCCGAGGAGCAUGCCUGUUUGAGUGUCAUUAAAUAUCUCAAAAAGCUUGUGCUUUUUUGGCAUGGGAUUUUUGGACAUUGGGAGUUGCCGGCUGCUGAUAAAGUGGUGGGCUCUUCUGAAAAGCAUUAGUUGAGGAGCUUUGCACUCUAUUGGUGUGAUAAACUAUCUAUGCCAGGAGAUGCUUCAUGAUCCUCUGCUAUCUAAAUGUCUUUAUCAGACAAUAUGAUAGACCUGACCUCAAAUCAGGUAGGACUACCCGCUGAACUUAA